Molecule: ribosomal RNA, 412 nt
Filed under: uncultured bacterium
Lineage: Bacteria
Description: bacterial SSU rRNA
Rfam family: Bacterial small subunit ribosomal RNA
Source: RNAcentral
AGCCAGCAGCCGCGGUAAUACGUAGGGGGUUAGCGUUGUCCGGAUUUACUGGGUGUAAAGGGCGCGUAGGCGGGUUUGUAAGUCAGAGGUGAAAUCCUGCAGCUUAACUGCAGAGCUGCCUUUGAUACUGCAAAUCUUGAGUUCAGAAGAGAGAGAUGGAAUUCCAGGUGUAGUGGUGAAAUACGUAGAUAUCUGGAAGAACACCAGUGGCGAAGGCGGUCUCUUGGUCUGUAACUGACGCUGAGGCGCGAAAGCGUGGGUAGCAAACAGGAUUAGAUACCCUGGUAGUCCACGCUGUAAACGAUGAAUACUAGAUGUGGGAGUUGUCAUGACUUCCGUGCCGCAGUUAACACAAUAAGUAUUCCGCCUGGGGAGUACGGUCGCAAGAUUAAAACUUAAAUGAAUUGACGGC